This 487-nucleotide ribosomal RNA is filed under the name Fuligo gyrosa. RNAcentral's name for it is "SSU rRNA". It matches the Rfam family "Eukaryotic small subunit ribosomal RNA", at positions 110 to 558 of the family's 1831-position model. The record is from RNAcentral. Lineage: Eukaryota; Evosea; Eumycetozoa; Physariida; Physaraceae.
UGGCAGUCUGUCCUGGUGCCGGCUGCAAGGCCGGUGCUGGGGCGACAUGGAUAACCCUGGUAAUUCUGAGGCUAAUACAUGAACGUAACCCCUGACUGACCGGGUAACUGGAAGGUUGGGGAUAGUGUGAGUAGACGCAGAUAUUGCUGGGAAUAGGCGCACUGUCAAACCACCAUACCAAACGGUUAGGGUCCUGACCUCACGGGAGGGGCCCUUUCUGGGUGGGUCUUGCCAUGUGCUCCUGACCUAUCAACUAGAUGGCAGCGUAACGGACAUGCUAUGGUUACAACGGGUACAGAGGAUAAGGGUUCGAUCCUGGAGAGUGGGCCUGAGAGAUUGCUCACACUUCUAAGGAAGGCAGCAGGCGCGUAACGUUCCCCUUGGGCAAUGCCCGAGGGCGUUAGGGGACAUAUGAAUGCCUGCCUUAUGGUGGGCAAUUCAAAUGGGUCUGUUCUAAACAGCCUCUCGAGUAACAAUUAAAGGACAA